AGCAGUAGCCGCGGUAAUACGGAGGGUGCAAGCGUUAAUCGGAAUUACUGGGCGUAAAGCGUGCGUAGGUGGUGGUUUAAGUCCGUUGUGAAAGCCCUGGGCUCAACCUGGGAAUUGCAGUGGAUACUGGGUCACUAGAGUGUGGUAGAGGAUAGUGGAAUUUCCGGUGUAGCAGUGAAAUGCGUAGAGAUCGGAAGGAACAUCUGUGGCGAAGGCGACUAUCUGGGCCAACACUGACACUGAGGCACGAAAGCGUGGGGAGCAAACAGGAUUAGAUACCCCGGUAGUCCCUGUCUCUUAUAA
RNAcentral lists this ribosomal RNA (303 nucleotides) under uncultured bacterium. RNAcentral describes it as "partial 16S ribosomal RNA". It matches the Rfam family "Bacterial small subunit ribosomal RNA", at positions 507 to 809 of the family's 1533-position model. The record is from RNAcentral.